This 468-nucleotide ribosomal RNA is filed under the name uncultured bacterium. RNAcentral describes it as "partial 16S ribosomal RNA". It matches the Rfam family "Bacterial small subunit ribosomal RNA", at positions 28 to 507 of the family's 1533-position model. The record is from RNAcentral.
GACGAACGCUGGCGGCGUGCUUAACACAUGCAAGUCGAACGGAAAGGCCCUGCUUUUGUGGGGUGCUCGAGUGGCGAACGGGUGAGUAACACGUGAGUAACCUGCCCUUGACUUUGGGAUAACUUCAGGAAACUGGGGCUAAUACCGGAUAGGAGCUCCUGCUGCAUGGUGGGGGUUGGAAAGUUUCGGCGGUUGGGGAUGGACUCGCGGCUUAUCAGCUUGUUGGUGGGGUAGUGGCUUACCAAGGCUUUGACGGGUAGCCGGCCUGAGAGGGUGACCGGCCACAUUGGGACUGAGAUACGGCCCAGACUCCUACGGGAGGCAGCAGUGGGGAAUAUUGCACAAUGGGCGGAAGCCUGAUGCAGCAACGCCGCGUGCGGGAUGACGGCCUUCGGGUUGUAAACCGCUUUCGCCUGUGACGAAGCGGGAGUGACGGUAAUGGGUAAAGAAGCACCGACUAACUACGUG